Molecule: microRNA precursor, 126 nt
Filed under: Myotis brandtii (Brandt's bat)
Lineage: Eukaryota; Metazoa; Chordata; Mammalia; Chiroptera; Vespertilionidae
Description: mir-9193 microRNA precursor family
Rfam family: mir-9193 microRNA precursor family
Source: Rfam by way of RNAcentral
CGUGCACUGGUGGGGUCCCUCGGCCUGGCCUGCACCCUCUCACAAUCUGGGACCCCUCAGGGGAUGUUGGAGAGCCAGUUUCGGCCUGAUCCCGCAGGCCAGGCCGAGGGACCCCACUGGUGCACG